Molecule: long non-coding RNA, 759 nt
Filed under: Ictidomys tridecemlineatus (thirteen-lined ground squirrel)
Lineage: Eukaryota; Metazoa; Chordata; Mammalia; Rodentia; Sciuridae
Description: lncRNA (ENSSTOG00000030105.1)
Source: RNAcentral
UUCUAAUCAAAUUCUGUCGUAAUUUCUCAGGUGUCUGGAAUUUAUGACACACCAUUCAGCAAAUCUCCAAUGAUACAUUUCCGUAACAGGAGUUAUAAAUCCAUUGGCAAUUUCAUUAAUCAGACAAAGAGCUGUGCAGUUAUUGAAAUAACUCCUCAAAUAAUUGCCAACUUGCCAUGCAGUGACAUCACUCCUAGGAGAAGAGCUUUGACAAUUGAUGAUACAGCCCAGGAGAUGGCACAUUCUGGGGGAUAAAUAGAACUGUGAAGGUUAAGAGUGCUACAUACAGAAUCCUGGAGGAAAGAUAACUAAACCUGAGUAUGGUGAUUGUAGAGUCAGAAACAUCUUCCAAAGAAGUGGGCCCUCUAUGAAAUCUCAGAGACAAAAGAGGAGUUUAACAGAUAGAUGAAAAUAUCAGGUAGCUACGUGGGAAGAGCUUUGGAAUGGGGGUAAGAUAUAAAAUGUGUUCCGCUUCAGUUCUUCUGACACCUUGAAUGUAUCAGUUGAUCUCUGAAUCUUGUUUUCUCCUUUACAAAAUAAAAAUGGUAACUUUUCUAAUUUAUGAUAAACUUCCAGAUUGAAAUAAAAUAGUUUAUAGAAAAAAUUCUGUGUGGGAGGAAAAGCUCAAAGGAAAAAAAAAUCAUACUUAUAAUGAAUUUUUCUAAUAAUUGGUACAUCUUGGAAAAUUACGGACAUAAUUCUGACAUCCUUCUGUUAAUUAAAUAUGACUGAAAUGUGAUUUUUGCCUUUUUUCUGAAA